This 238-nucleotide ribosomal RNA is filed under the name Acrapex rungwe. RNAcentral's name for it is "partial 12S ribosomal RNA". Lineage: Eukaryota; Metazoa; Arthropoda; Insecta; Lepidoptera; Noctuidae. The record is from RNAcentral.
ACAUAUUUUAAUUUUUAAUCAUUUUAUUAAAAUAAAUAAAAUUACAUUUAAAUCCACUUUCAAUUAAUUUUUACAAAUUAAUAUUCAUCUAAAUAAUUUUAUUGUAAUCCAUUAUAUUCUUAAUUAUAAUCUGCAUCUUGAUCUGAUUUAAAUUUAUAUAAUAAUUUUUAAAUAUUAAUUUUAUUAAAAAAUAUUUUUAUAACAACGAUAUACAAAAUUAUAAAUUAAGUAAAUUUAA